This is a long non-coding RNA of Grus americana (Whooping crane), 557 nucleotides long. RefSeq lists it as uncharacterized. The record is from RefSeq and is a predicted model, not a curated record. NCBI's taxonomy places the organism in Eukaryota, Metazoa, Chordata, Aves, Gruiformes, Gruidae. The transcript has 3 exons.
CAUCCCGCACCCCCGGGCGCGGCUCCCGUGGGGCUCGUCUUCCUGCACGCGGUCUCGGCGAGCUGUUUUCGUGUUUAGGCCUCACAGCACCAGAGCCGCUACUUGCAGCCCACCCUCCGCACGCCACCCUCACGGCAAGCCUUGGCUUUCGGGCAGCGCAGCGCUGCCUCCUUCGCCCAAACAAGCGGACUCCUUUCCACCCCCAGCGGCUGUUCCCUCGCUCGCCCCUCGUUUGCCACCCGCGGCUGGGACCCCUGCAAGCACUCCCCUUCCUCCUAGAACGUAGAGGCGAUGAGGGCUCAUCUCGGGUCUUUGCCGCGUUCUUGGAUUUUUCCUUCAUCGCGACUACUGCAAGGCGAAGAUGACACUGGCAUAUUAGACCCGAUUCUUCCGAAUUGCAGGGGGCAUGGAUUUCGGCUUCAGAAAAUGGUGCGAGGUGGGGGGAGGCGAUCUCUGAGCCACAACCACGACAGGCAAGCCGCUCGGGAGAAGGCAGUUCUGCUCUGACCCUGCAAUAUCUAGCGCUUCGAAACCGAGACUGAAAGACCUACACGAAC